UACGUAGGGUGCGAGCGUUGCCCGGAUUUAUUGGGCGUAAAGGGCUCGUAGGCGGUUUGUCGCGUCGGGAGUGAAAUCAUCUGGCUUAACUGGGUGCUUGCUUUCGAUACGGGCAGACUAGAGGUAUGCAGGGGAGAACGGAAUUCCUGGUGUAGCGGUGAAAUGCGCAGAUAUCAGGAGGAACACCGGUGGCGAAGGCGGUUCUCUGGGCAUGAUCUGACGCUGAGGAGCGAAAGUGUGGGGAGCGAACAGG
Molecule: ribosomal RNA, 253 nt
Filed under: uncultured bacterium
Lineage: Bacteria
Description: partial 16S ribosomal RNA
Rfam family: Bacterial small subunit ribosomal RNA
Source: RNAcentral